AGUGAACGCUGGCGGUAGGCCUAACACAUGCAAGUCGAACGGCAGCACAGUAAGAGCUUGCUCUUACGGGUGGCGAGUGGCGGACGGGUGAGGAAUACAUCGGAAUCUACUUUUUCGUGGGGGAUAACGUAGGGAAACUUACGCGAAUACCGCAUACGACCUACGGGUGAAAGCAGGGGAUCUUCGGACCUUGCGCGAUUGAAUGAGCCGAUGUCGGAUUAGCUAGUUGGCGGGGUAAAGGCCCACCAAGGCGACGAUCCGUAGCUGGUCUGAGAGGAUGAACAGCCACCGUGGAACUGAGAAAGGGUCCAGACUCCUACGGGAGGCAGCAGUGGGGAAUAUUAGACAAUGGGCGCAUGCCUGACACAGCAAUACGGCGUGAGUGAAGAAGGCCCUCGGCUUUUAAAGCCCUUUUGUUGGUAAAGAAAAAAAGCAGUUUAAUCCCCCGCUGUUCUGACGGUACCGAAAGAAUAAGCACCGGCUAACUUCGUG
RNAcentral lists this ribosomal RNA (492 nucleotides) under uncultured bacterium. Its description in RNAcentral is "partial 16S ribosomal RNA". It matches the Rfam family "Bacterial small subunit ribosomal RNA", at positions 29 to 507 of the family's 1533-position model. The record is from RNAcentral.